Non-coding RNA from Salmo salar (Atlantic salmon), 58 nucleotides. Lineage: Eukaryota; Metazoa; Chordata; Actinopteri; Salmoniformes; Salmonidae. The record is from Rfam.
UAGCUCAGUUGGUAGAGUAUGGUGUUUGCAACGCCAGGGUUGUGGGUUCGAUUCCCAC